UUGCAUUUUGACUCGGAAAACGUUGGUGACCACUGCUCUAGGGUGUCUAUUAUCUCAUCUACCGGUCAGCCGGCCAGAAUUCCUACCCUUUCUGCAUACAAAUAGCUGUCAGUAAGCCUCGCUUUAGGAAAGGAAUGACAAUGCUGGUUUAGAUCGGUGGCGACUCACCGGUGAGGUGGCUUUUCAUUCCAUAAAUUCCGCAUUUGCAGGUGCUGGUUCUUAACUCUUCUUGAACUGUACUGUUGGUUAAGGGCUUUUAAGUAAGCAUUUCACGCACUGCCCUCAUGUGGUCAUAAGGUUGGGGAGAUCCUGCUAUGGUGACCGGCAGACUCUAUCCCUGGAGAGAACAUUACGAAACGGACAAACGUGAAAACUACUCAUGGACCUGAGCCCUAGGACCAUGCCCCAGGACUACCUGACAUG
Oncorhynchus kisutch (coho salmon) is the source of this 423-nucleotide long non-coding RNA. RefSeq lists it as uncharacterized. The record is from RefSeq and is a predicted model, not a curated record. NCBI's taxonomy places the organism in Eukaryota, Metazoa, Chordata, Actinopteri, Salmoniformes, Salmonidae. The transcript is spliced from 4 exons.